Molecule: ribosomal RNA, 465 nt
Filed under: uncultured Klebsiella sp.
Lineage: Bacteria; Pseudomonadati; Pseudomonadota; Gammaproteobacteria; Enterobacterales; Enterobacteriaceae
Description: bacterial SSU rRNA
Rfam family: Bacterial small subunit ribosomal RNA
Source: RNAcentral
CCUACGGGUGGCUGCAGUGGGGAAUAUUGCACAAUGGGCGCAAGCCUGAUGCAGCCAUGCCGCGUGUGUGAAGAAGGCCUUCGGGUUGUAAAGCACUUUCAGCGGGGAGGAAGGCGUUAAGGUUAAUAACCUUGUCGAUUGACGUUACCCGCAGAAGAAGCACCGGCUAACUCCGUGCCAGCAGCCGCGGUAAUACGGAGGGUGCAAGCGUUAAUCGGAAUUACUGGGCGGAAAGCGCACGCAGGCGGUCUGUCAAGUCGGAUGUGAAAUCCCCGGGCUCAACCUGGGAACUGCAUUCGAAACUGGCAGGCUAGAGUCUUGUAGAGGGGGGUAGAAUUCCAGGUGUAGCGGUGAAAUGCGUAGAGAUCUGGAGGAAUACCGGUGGCGAAGGCGGCCCCCUGGACAAAGACUGACGCUCAGGUGCGAAAGCGUGGGGAGCAAACAGGAUUAGAUACCCCAGUAGUC